AUCAUCACAAAUAUUGUUAUAAAAAAAUGAAGGGUAUCUUGGCCUAUCAAUAUUAAGUGAAUGCUGUACAUUUUAAUGAGUCAUAAAACUUUUCGAUACUGCUUUUUUUCUAAUGAUGGUUUAAAAUGUUGUUGAUAACCGAGGU
This 145-nucleotide small RNA is filed under the name Spisula solidissima (Atlantic surf clam). Lineage: Eukaryota; Metazoa; Mollusca; Bivalvia; Venerida; Mactridae. The record is from RNAcentral.